AUCAGGUAUAGUCGUGUGUACCUGUGGUCCCCGCUACUUGGGAGACAGAGGCAAGAGGAUGGUUUGAGCCCAGGAGUCUGGGACCAGCCUGGGCGACAUAGCGAGACCUCAUCUCAA
This 117-nucleotide small RNA is filed under the name Marmota monax (woodchuck). Lineage: Eukaryota; Metazoa; Chordata; Mammalia; Rodentia; Sciuridae. The record is from RNAcentral.